ACUCCUACGGGAGGCAGCAGUGGGGAAUAUUGCACAAUGGGCGCAAGCCUGAUGCAGCCAUGCCGCGUGUAUGAAGAAGGCCUUCGGGUUGUAAAGUACUUUCAGCAGUGAGGAAGGUGGAUGCGUUAAUAGCGUAUUCAUUUGACGUUAGCUGCAGAAGAAGCACCGGCUAACUCCGUGCCAGCAGCCGCGGUAAUACGGAGGGUGCGAGCGUUAAUCGGAAUUACUGGGCGUAAAGCGCACGUAGGCGGACUAUUAAGUUAGAGGUGAAAUCCCAGGGCUCAACCCUGGAACUGCCUUUAAUACUGGUAGUCUUGAGUUCGAGAGAGGUGAGUGGAAUUCCGAGUGUAGAGGUGAAAUUCGUAGAUAUUCGGAGGAACACCAGUGGCGAAGGCGGCUCACUGGCUCGAUACUGACGCUGAGGUGCGAAAGUGUGGGGAGCAAACAGGAUUAGAUACCCUGGUAGACAUC
Molecule: ribosomal RNA, 471 nt
Filed under: uncultured bacterium
Lineage: Bacteria
Description: bacterial SSU rRNA
Rfam family: Bacterial small subunit ribosomal RNA
Source: RNAcentral